GAUUCUUAAUCGAGCGCCUCCUUGCAGCAGUUCCGACUCGGUCUCAGCAGAGGUUGGGAUGAAGGGAACUCAUUGUAAUGAGAUGACUCAGAGGCGGCAGGGGCGAGGGACACUUGCCAGUGCCUGCCCCUGGUAAGAAGCUACGGCUCUGUACCAGGGGCAGGUACCCAACCUUCCUUCUCCCCGAUUGACAUGUGGCUACUAGACCCCUUCACGGAUCCCGGACUAUCUCUGGCAACUGACUCUUAUGCCGCCCCUCCCCCUCCAGGAGCAAACGUCAACCGAACAUCGUUCCUGUCUGCAAAAACCCCUCUGCCCUCGGAUGCAGCUUUCCCUUCCCGCGAGCGAACUGAAAGAGAUUACCUUUAGUUAUCGUGAUCAUUUCUGCACAUUAUACAUUAUGAAGAUUUCUUGGAAUCUUCUAUAAGUUUAUGUUUCAGCUUGUUUACUAUUCCAGGAAUAGUAAAUUCACGGAAGCGAAAUAGCAUCUUAGUGUAUCAAUAUACUCAUUAUCAUGAAUAUGUUGCUUGUAUCAAGUAUCUAUUUAAAAGUUGUUUCCUUCAUACUCUCUCGGUCAGCGAUGUUUCUAAAUAGCGUGGCAUUCAACUAUAUACUGUUACACCAUGUAUUAAUUAGAUAUAUUAGUGAUGUUUCUUGAUAUAUAUUUUCCUCUUUGCUCUGAGCACUGUGUUGUAUUUAAGGUGCUAUAUGUUGUGCUGUUGUGUAUGAGGCAAAUGAGACUUGUUUCCAUCUCUGUUCAAUAAAUUUUAUUUUAAUAAA
Molecule: long non-coding RNA, 780 nt
Organism: Penaeus indicus
Lineage: Eukaryota; Metazoa; Arthropoda; Malacostraca; Decapoda; Penaeidae
Exons: 2
Source: RefSeq, a predicted model, not a curated record